Molecule: long non-coding RNA, 229 nt
Filed under: Homo sapiens (human)
Lineage: Eukaryota; Metazoa; Chordata; Mammalia; Primates; Hominidae
Description: non-protein coding lnc-RBM45-8:1
Source: RNAcentral
CUUGAACCCAGGAGGCAGAGGUUGCAGUGAGCCGAGAUCACACCAUUGCACUCCACCCUGGGCAUUGCAGCGAGACUCUGUCUCAAAACAAAACAAACAAACAAAAAAGCCCUGUUGAGGUUUAUAUUUAAUUGGAGGGCUAAAUGUGGUCCUGGAGAAUAUAUUUUGUCCCCUUUUAGGAAAUAUUUGCUAUAUCACUUGAGAGUUUUCAUACUCCAAGCUCUGGGUG